This 85-nucleotide transfer RNA is filed under the name Felis catus (domestic cat). It matches the Rfam family "tRNA". Rfam says of the family: Transfer RNA (tRNA) molecules are approximately 80 nucleotides in length. Their secondary structure includes four short double-helical elements and three loops (D, anti-codon, and T loops). Lineage: Eukaryota; Metazoa; Chordata; Mammalia; Carnivora; Felidae. The record is from Rfam by way of RNAcentral.
GCCUGGGUGGCUCAGUCGGUCGAGCAUCUGACUUCGGCUCAGAUCAUGACCUCACGGCUCAGCAGGUUGAGCCCUGCAUCGGGCU